This 440-nucleotide ribosomal RNA is filed under the name uncultured bacterium. RNAcentral describes it as "bacterial SSU rRNA". It matches the Rfam family "Bacterial small subunit ribosomal RNA", at positions 30 to 469 of the family's 1533-position model. The record is from RNAcentral.
AUUGAACGCUGGCGGAAUGCUUUACACAUGCAAGUCGAACGGCAGCACGGGGCAACCUGGUGGCGAGUGGCGAACGGGUGAGUAAUACAUCGGAACGUGCCCAAUCGUGGGGGAUAACGUAGCGAAAGUUACGCUAAUACCGCAUACGAUCUACGGAUGAAAGCGGGGGAUCGCAAGACCUCGCGCGAGUGGAGCGGCCGAUGUCAGAUUAGGUAGUUGGUGGGGUAAAGGCUCACCAAGCCAACGAUCUGUAGCUGGUCUGAGAGGACGACCAGCCACACUGGAACUGAGACACGGUCCAGACUCCUACGGGAGGCAGCAGUGGGGAAUUUUGGACAAUGGGCGCAAGCCUGAUCCAGCCAUUCCGCGUGCAGGAUGAAGGCCUCGGGUUGUAACUAGCUUUGUACGGUAACGAAACGGACGAGCUCUAAUACAGUUUG